AAAGGAAGACGCGUUCAGAGUGAAAGAGGAGGAGGYUGUUACAGUAAAAGAAGAGGAGGAAGAGAAAGAGGAGGAUGCCGUUUUUGGAGUGAAGGGGGAAGAGAUAACUGUCACAUUGAAGGAGGAGAAUGAAGAACAGGAGAAGGAGACAGGAGAUCUGAUUAAGACCAGAGAGAGACCUGACUCUGACAGCGGAAGAGUUCCUCAGAGGAAAACAGACCCGGAGACGCUAACCAACACCACUGCUCCCACUGUGGAAAGAGUUUUAGGUGGUUUGGGAGCCUGAAAAAUGCAUGGAGAAUACAUACAGGAAAAAGCCUACCACUGUUCUCACUGUGGAAAGAAUUUACUCAGUUAGGGGCCCUGGUUGGGCAUGAGAGAACACACACUAGAGCGCAAGCCUUAUCACUGUUCCCACUGUGGAAGAGUUUUAGGUGGUUAUGGUCCUGAACAAGCAUGAGAGAUACACACUGGAAGAGCCUUAUCACUGUUCUCACUGUGGAAACAGUUUUAGUGGUUAGUGAGCCUGAAAACGCAUGAGAGAACACACACAGGAGAAAAACCUUUCCAAUGUUCCCAGUGUGAAAAGAGUUUUAGGUGGUCAGGGAGUCUGAAAAAAGCAUGAGAGAAAACACACAAGG
Non-coding RNA from Salvelinus sp. IW2-2015, 641 nucleotides. The record is from RefSeq and is a predicted model, not a curated record. Lineage: Eukaryota; Metazoa; Chordata; Actinopteri; Salmoniformes; Salmonidae.